Small nucleolar RNA from Nannospalax galili (Upper Galilee mountains blind mole rat), 70 nucleotides. NCBI's taxonomy places the organism in Eukaryota, Metazoa, Chordata, Mammalia, Rodentia, Spalacidae. The record is from RefSeq and is a predicted model, not a curated record.
UCUGGUGAUGACAAUACUGUCCAGUUCUGUUACUGAAGGAAAGAGAUGGAUGCUUUUAGUACUGAAGAAA